ACUCCUACGGGAGGCAGCAGUGGGGAAUAUUGCACAAUGGGCGCAAGCCUGAUGCAGCCAUGCCGCGUGUAUGAAGAAGGCCUUCGGGUUGUAAAGUACUUUCAGCAGUGAGGAAGGUGGUAUGUUAAUAGUACAUACUCAUUUGACUGUUAGCUGCAGAAGAAGACACCGCGUAACUCCGUGCCAGCAGCCGCGGUAAUACGGAGGGUGCGAGCGUUAAUCGGAAUUACUGGGCGUAAAGCGCAUGCAGGUGGUUUGUUAAGUCAGAUGUGAAAGCCCGGGGCUCAACCUCGGAAUUGCAUUGAACUUGGAC
Molecule: ribosomal RNA, 313 nt
Filed under: uncultured bacterium
Lineage: Bacteria
Description: bacterial SSU rRNA
Rfam family: Bacterial small subunit ribosomal RNA
Source: RNAcentral